UACGUAGGGCGCAAGCGUUAUCCGGAAUUAUUGGGCGUAAAGAGCUCGUUAGGCGGUUUGUCGCGUCUGCCGUGAAAGUCCGGGGCUCGAACUCCGGAUCUGCGGUGGGUACGGGCAGACUAGAGUGAUGUAGGGGAGACUGGAAUUCCGGUGUAGCGGUGAAAUGCGCAGAUAUCAGGAGGAACACCGAUGGCGAAGGCAGGUCUCUGGGCAUUAACUGACGCUGAGGAGCGAAAGCAUGGGGAGCGAACAGGAUUAGAACCGACCGUAGUCAGUCCAAGAUCC
RNAcentral lists this ribosomal RNA (285 nucleotides) under uncultured bacterium. Its description in RNAcentral is "partial 16S ribosomal RNA". It matches the Rfam family "Bacterial small subunit ribosomal RNA", at positions 524 to 803 of the family's 1533-position model. The record is from RNAcentral.